RNAcentral lists this ribosomal RNA (253 nucleotides) under uncultured bacterium. Its description in RNAcentral is "partial 16S ribosomal RNA". It matches the Rfam family "Bacterial small subunit ribosomal RNA", at positions 524 to 776 of the family's 1533-position model. The record is from RNAcentral.
UACGGAGGGGGCAAGCGUUGUCCGGAAUCACUGGGCGUAAAGCGCACGUAGGCGGGACGGUGCGUCGGUGCUGAAAGCGCCAGGCUUAACCUGGCGAGGCGUGCCGAUACGACCGACCUCGAGGCAGACAGAGGGUGGCGGAAUUCCGGGUGUAGUGGUGAAAUGCGUAGAGAUCCGGAGGAACGCCGGUGGCGCAAGCGGCCACCUGGGUCUGACCUGACGCUGAGGUGCGAAAGCGUGGGGAGCAAACCGG